RNAcentral lists this ribosomal RNA (235 nucleotides) under uncultured Pseudomonadota bacterium. RNAcentral's name for it is "uncultured proteobacterium partial 16S ribosomal RNA". It matches the Rfam family "Bacterial small subunit ribosomal RNA", at positions 560 to 792 of the family's 1533-position model. The record is from RNAcentral. Lineage: Bacteria; Pseudomonadati; Pseudomonadota.
UUGGUUAAGAGCACGUAGGCGGACUGUAAGUCAGAGGUGAAUCCCAGGGCUCAACCUUGGAACUGCCUUUGAAACUGCCAGUCUAGAGUUCGAGAGAGGUGAGUGGAAUUCCGGGUGUAGAGGUGAAAUUCGUAGAUAUUCGGAGGAACACCAGUGGCGAAGGCGGCUCACUGGCUCGAUACUGACGCUGAGGUGCGAAAGCGUGGGGAGCAAACAGGAUUAGAUACCCCUCGUA